GACGAACGCUGGCGGCGUGCUUAACACAUGCAAGUCGAACGGAAAGGCCCUGCUUUUGUGGGGUGCUCGAGUGGCGAACGGGUGAGUAACACGUGAGUAACCUGCCCUUGACUUUGGGAUAACUUCAGGAAACUGGGGCUAAUACCGGAUAGGAGCUCCUGCUGCAUGGUGGGGGUUGGAAAGUUUCGGCGGUUGGGGAUGGACUCGCGGCUUAUCAGCUUGUUGGUGGGGUAGUGGCUUACCAAGGCUUUGACGGGUAGCCGGCCUGAGAGGGUGACCGGCCACAUUGGGACUGAGAUACGGCCCAGACUCCUACGGGAGGCAGCAGUGGGGAAUAUUGCACAAUGGGCGGAAGCCUGAUGCAGCAACGCCGCGUGCGGGAUGACGGCCUUCGGGUUGUAAACCGCUUUCGCCUGUGACGAAGCGUGAGUGACGGUAAUGGGUAAAGAAGCACCGGCUAACUACGUGCCAGCAGCCGCGGUGAUACGUAGGGUGCGAGCGUUGUCCGGAUUUAUUGGGCGUAAAGGGCUCGUAGGUGGUUGAUCGCGUCGGAAGUGUAAUCUUGGGGCUUAACCCUGAGCGUGCUUUCGAUACGGGUUGACUUGAGGAAGGUAGGGGAGAAUGGAAUUCCUGGUGGAGCGGUGGAAUGCGCAGAUAUCAGGAGGAACACCAGUGGCGAAGGCGGUUCUCUGGGCCUUUCCUGACGCUGAGGAGCGAAAGCGUGGGGAGCGAACAGGCUUAGAUACCCUGGUAGUCCACGCUGUAAACGGUGGGUACUAGGUGUGGGGUCCAUUCCACGGGUUCCGUGCCGUAGCUAACGCUUUAAGUAUCCCGCCUGGGGAGUACGGCCGCAAGGCUAAAACUCAAAGGAAUUGACGGGGCCCCGCACAAGCGGCGGAGCAUGCGGAUUAAUUCGAUGCAACGCGUAGAACCUUACCUGGGUUUGACAUGGAUCGGGAGCGCUCAGAGAUGGGUGUGCCUCUUUUGGGGUCGGUUCACAGGUGGUGCAUGGCUGUCGUCAGCUCGUGUCGUGAGAUGUUGGGUUAAGUCCCGCAACGAGCGCAACCCUUGUUCACUGUUGCCAGCACGUUAUGGUGGGGACUCAGUGGAGACCGCCGGGGUCAACUCGGAGGAAGGUGGGGAUGACGUCAAGUCAUCAUGCCCCUUAUGUCCAGGGCUUCACGCAUGCUACAAUGGCUGGUACAGAGAGUGGCGAGCCUGUGAGGGUGAGCGAAUCUCGGAAAGCCGGUCUCAGUUCGGAUUGGGGUCUGCAACUCGACCUCAUGAAGUCGGAGUCGCUAGUAAUCGCAGAUCAGCAACGCUGUGGUGAAUACGUUCCCGGG
This 1343-nucleotide ribosomal RNA is filed under the name uncultured bacterium. RNAcentral describes it as "16S ribosomal RNA". It matches the Rfam family "Bacterial small subunit ribosomal RNA", at positions 28 to 1378 of the family's 1533-position model. The record is from RNAcentral.